This 468-nucleotide ribosomal RNA is filed under the name uncultured bacterium. Its description in RNAcentral is "partial 16S ribosomal RNA". It matches the Rfam family "Bacterial small subunit ribosomal RNA", at positions 28 to 507 of the family's 1533-position model. The record is from RNAcentral.
GACGAACGCUGGCGGCGUGCUUAACACAUGCAAGUCGAACGGAAAGGCCCUGCUUUUGUGGGGUGCUCGAGUGGCGAACGGGUGAGUAACACGUGAGUAACCUGCCCUUGACUUUUGUAUAACUUCAGGAAACUGGGGCUAAUACCGGAUAGGAGCUCCUGCUUCAUGGUGGGGGUUGGAAAGUUUCGGCGGUUGGGGAUGGACUCGCGGCUUAUCAGCUUGUUGGUGGGGUAGUGGCUUACCAAGGCUUUGACGGGUAGCCGGCCUGAGAGGGUGACCGGCAACAUUGGGACUGAGAUACGGCCCAGACUCCUACGGGAGGCAGCAGUGGGGAAUAUUGCACAAUGGGCGGAAGCCUGAUGCAGCAACGCCGCGUGCGGGAUGACGGCCUUCGGGUUGUAAACCGCUUUCGCCUGUGACGAAGCGUGAGUGACGGUAAUGGGUAAAGAAGCACCGGCUAACUACGUG